UCCGUAGGUGAACCAGCGGAGGGAUCAUUACCGAGUUUACAACUCCCAAACCCAAUGUGAACGUUACCAAACUGUUGCCUCGGCGGGAUCUCUGCCCCGGGUGCGUCGCAGCCCCGGACCAAGGCGCCCGCCGGAGGACCAACCAAAACUCUUAUUGUAUACCCCCUCGCGGGUUUUUUUAUAAUCUGAGCCUUCUCGGCGCCUCUCGUAGGCGUUUCGAAAAUGAAUCAAAACUUUCAACAACGGAUCUCUUGGUUCUGGCAUCGAUGAAGAACGCAGCGAAAUGCGAUAAGUAAUGUGAAUUGCAGAAUUCAGUGAAUCAUCGAAUCUUUGAACGCACAUUGCGCCCGCCAGUAUUCUGGCGGGCAUGCCUGUCCGAGCGUCAUUUCAACCCUCGAACCCCUCCGGGGGGUCGGCGUUGGGGAUCGGCCCUCCCUUAGCGGGUGGCCGUCUCCGAAAUACAGUGGCGGUCUCGCCGCAGCCUCUCCUGCGCAGUAGUUUGCACACUCGCAUCGGGAGCGCGGCGCGUCCACAGCCGUUAAACACCCAACUUCUGAAAUGUUGACCUCGGAUCAGGUAGGAAUACCCGCUGAACUUAAGCAUAUCAAUAAGCGGAGGAAAAGAAACCAACAGGGAUUGCCCCAGUAAC
RNAcentral lists this ribosomal RNA (649 nucleotides) under Trichoderma sp. BAB-3722. RNAcentral's name for it is "eukaryotic LSU rRNA". The stretch from base 232 to 385 matches the Rfam family "5.8S ribosomal RNA". The record is from RNAcentral. Lineage: Eukaryota; Fungi; Ascomycota; Sordariomycetes; Hypocreales; Hypocreaceae.